Molecule: long non-coding RNA, 1058 nt
Organism: Morone saxatilis (striped sea-bass)
Lineage: Eukaryota; Metazoa; Chordata; Actinopteri; Moronidae
Exons: 3
Source: RefSeq, a predicted model, not a curated record
GAAGAACCCAGGCAAGGUUCCGCCCGACACCCUCCCCUCUGCAUUCGCACACUGCCAGCCAGAGGGGAGAGCCGUGCUGUCUUUCCACAGACACACUCAGCAGAGGGGCUUCUGAAAAAGAAAACAAGGGGAUGAGCAGCUGUGCUCGGAUGCUCCACCAUGCAGGUCAAAUUCUGACCAGAAUACAAAGAAGACAAGAGGUGCACAGAACUACGGGCCGAUACCAGACCAUCAGCCCGGACUUCUGGAGUCUCUGACACAUAACUGAUGCUGUUGUCGUUGCUUUCAACGUGCCAGGUUAUGGUUGCUGCGGGGGCAACACUUUCCACAGAGCAGUCCACUUUUGUGUACUUGUGACCGUCUUUCCACUCAUUGCUGGAGUCGAUGGUAAUAUGUGGGGGAGCUGCGUGAGAAAGAGAAGUUAAACCACAGGAAGUGAGAAAUUUCUUUAGAGAAAAAUAUUAAAUCUAUAGUGAGCUUACACGGCCAAAUAUGUCCGCUACUCAGACAAAAUUAUCCAUCGCCUGAUUUGUUGAACAUACCGCAACGAGGGAGUGUUACGCUUCUGUUCUCUGGCUCUUCAAAUGCAGGGUGAUUUAUCACACACUCUGCAGUGAGCUCCCAAGGCAAGCAGGCAGGGAGGAGUAAAACUCCCUUGACAGAGUGGCUUCCAUUAUGAGAAGUGAAAUUGAACCAAUGGACUCCAGACACACCCUCUGGUAGAAGCCAGGAUAUGUUGGCUACAGGAUCAGCAUCAGCUGCUGAGCACUCAAUCACCCUGCGUCCAUCUUCGGUCUGCAAAUCAACUCGUAUUGUGGGAGGAACUGAGUGGAAGGCUCUUCAUCGGUGUUCAAAGCCAAGGACAUGUCAGUGGCAGGUCUCCCUCCAGACGAAAUGCAAGAGACCACCCAGAACUCACUUCCUCCUUGUUGUAUCAUCUCUGCUUUAAUGGUCACAUUUGGCCUCGCUGCAGAGCAGGAAGAAAGGCGAGAAGAGUUAUUCUUUCUCAAGGUCUGAUGUUUUUUCCAGCAAAUUAAAAAGUCAGAUAGCAAGUUGAA